AUAGCGUAUACUAAAGUUGUUGUGGUUAAAAAGCUCGUAGUUGGAUCUCAGUUCGAGUCAGUCGGUCCACUUGCCAGUGGCUACUGACUGGCUGAACACUUUACCGAGUUGUCCUACAGUGCUCUUAAUCGAGUGUUGUAGGCGAUCGGUACGUUUACUUUGAAAAAAUUAGAGUGCUCAAAGCAGGCUAAUAAAGCCCGAAUAAUGUUGCAUGGAAUAAUGGAAUAGGACCUCGGUUCUAUUUUGUUGGUCUUCGGAAUCCGAGGUAAUGAUUAAGAGGGACAGACGGGGGCAUUCGUAUUGCGGCGCUGGAGGUGAAAUUCUUGGACCGUCGCAAGACGAACUAAAG
RNAcentral lists this ribosomal RNA (349 nucleotides) under Protoribates hakonensis. Its description in RNAcentral is "SSU rRNA". It matches the Rfam family "Eukaryotic small subunit ribosomal RNA", at positions 594 to 945 of the family's 1831-position model. The record is from RNAcentral. Lineage: Eukaryota; Metazoa; Arthropoda; Arachnida; Sarcoptiformes; Haplozetidae.